Molecule: long non-coding RNA, 633 nt
Organism: Tripterygium wilfordii
Lineage: Eukaryota; Viridiplantae; Streptophyta; Magnoliopsida; Celastrales; Celastraceae
Exons: 2
Source: RefSeq, a predicted model, not a curated record
UAGGUCAUAGGAUCACAUGCACUAUUGUUAGAAUAAAUAUGAAAAAAAGGCCAACUUGGUAAUAUUAAUUGCAAAGGAGAAUCAAAUUUCCAGUAUAAAUAUGAUGCAAGAGAGACUGAGUUCUCACACUUCUCUAUAUUUUCAUAGGUGAAUACUCAAAAGGUUAAGUGGGAAGUAGUUAGAUGGUUAGCAAAGUUAGUCUGCUGAGUGUUCUGGCAUGGCUCCUGGUGGUGGCAUCAAUUGUCAUCUGCUCAAAUGCAGCUGCAGGGACUCCUGCUGAUAAGCUUAAGUUUGAUAACGUGGUUUAUCCUCAAGCAGGUUGUCGCUGCUGCUACUUUAUCAGGGACAAAAAUGGGUUUCUCCAAUGUGGGUCUGCGUGCUGUGUUGACGGUUGCUGCGGUUGAAAUGUGUUUACUCACUGCACACUGUGCAAGGGAAUAAUAAGCCGGAGAAUUUCCUCAAGAAUGUCUGUUUUUUGUUUUAAUGUUAUGAAGUCUUGAUCUAUAAAGAAGUUUCUUUCCUUAAAUGGUUUUCUCAUGUAAGGAAGUGCAUUGUGUAAGAUCAUGAAUAAUAUGUACUGCAAUUAGCGCAACAGUGCUUCACGCACUACAACAAAGCUCUUAUUUACAGGUA